UUGAAGCAAAUGCAGGGUUUCUUGUAAGAUGAGGGUGAAUGCAUCAGACAAACAAAUUUGACAUAUUAGUGCCUUGCAGCCUCUCAAAGUUCUUGCAUUCAGGUUAUUCUUUUAGAAAGAAAAUUGUCAAAGGUGAUUGUCAAAGGAGAAUUUAUUCAAGGGUUUCUUUUAAUGUUGUACAUGUUUUGUUUUCAAUAAUAAAUAUUAUGCAAUAUUAGCAAUGUGUUACAUUUACUUACUAUUGGAAUGAUUAUUUGUAUAUGACAUUAAAUUUUAUGAAAUGGAUUAUAUUUUUUGUA
Molecule: long non-coding RNA, 299 nt
Organism: Lactuca sativa (garden lettuce)
Lineage: Eukaryota; Viridiplantae; Streptophyta; Magnoliopsida; Asterales; Asteraceae
Source: RefSeq, a predicted model, not a curated record